AAGUCGUGGUUGCCCAACAGCUUAUCAGCCAAGUUUUUGUCAGAAUAUACAUCUCUUAUGUAGAACCCGGGGCUGUGCUUUUUUGGCCAAUAUCGAGAUUCGAGAGUAGUAACUAGCCUAGCACGAAGUGGGAGUGGAUCCUUCUUGUGCUUCUUCUCAAAUGGCGAUCGUCUUGAAACUCGGAGUGCGGACUGGGGCUUCUCUUCUUCCUCCUCUUUAGAAGGUCAUGGCAGAAGUGUUCGUGUAACGUGUGCACUUCUAGUUGCUCUAGGUGUGGCUGACGACUGGAAAGAUGCUGAGAGGUGGUCAAAGAAGAGGCCUCAAAUUAGAAUGAAUGCUUAUCAUGGAAAAAACUAGGAGGAAUGGACCAAAUACUGCUGCUUGUCAAAAGGAGGAUAAGUAGCCACAGUUUAAUUGAUUCCCUGAUACCUAUCAGAGGACUGGUACAAGUCCAAUGGCAUUAUUUUCUUAGCAUUAUAGAUUUAUGUUUAAAUCCACAAACAGCGUGGAAUCAGGAAUGUAAUUCUUCAUUCCCUUUUCUGUGUUGAUAUUGGAUAGUCUUGUCCGCCUGGCGUCGUGUGCAUUACUCUGUCUUCUUCUAGUCUAUUUUGAACCUUCAGCUGUGAUAUUAAUCAAAAAUAACAGUUGACAAUCAGGUGCUGUUGCUAUUA
Phoenix dactylifera (date palm) is the source of this 671-nucleotide non-coding RNA. NCBI's taxonomy places the organism in Eukaryota, Viridiplantae, Streptophyta, Magnoliopsida, Arecales, Arecaceae. The record is from RefSeq and is a predicted model, not a curated record.